AUACAGAGGGUGCAAGCGUUAAUCGGAUUUAAUGGGCGUAAAGCGCGCGUAGGUGGCUAAUUAAGUCAAAUGUGAAAUCCCCGAGCUUAACUUGGGAAUUGCAUUCGAAACUGGUUAGCUAGAGAAUGGGAGAGGAUGGUAGAAUUCGUGGUGUAGCGGUGAAAUGCAUAGAGAUCACACAGAACUCCGAUUGCGAAGGCAUCUCACGAAGGGGUGAUUGACGCUGAGGCACGAAAGCGUGGGGAUCAAACAGGAUUAGAUACCCUGGUAGUCCACGCAGUAAACGAUGAUAACUAACCGCUGGGCUUAUGUGGUUCAGUGGCCAAGCGAAAGCGAUAAGUUAUCCACCUGGGGAGUACGACCGCAAGGUUGAAACUCAAAUGAAUUGACGGGG
This 394-nucleotide ribosomal RNA is filed under the name uncultured bacterium. RNAcentral describes it as "partial 16S ribosomal RNA". It matches the Rfam family "Bacterial small subunit ribosomal RNA", at positions 523 to 918 of the family's 1533-position model. The record is from RNAcentral.